AAUAAUCGUACUGUAAUGUCACAAGACUGUUUUGAAUUUUAGAAGAAUAACAAUUCAGGAAGAUUAUGAAAUAUUAAUUUGCAGGAAAGAAAUAUUUUAUUUACUGUAAUAAAAGAAACAGAAAGAUUAAAUUAAAAAUUUUCACUUUUAGAUUGUUGGAAAAUCUUUCUGAUCUUUUAUUAAAAUAUUCUUUAAAAAUAAUUCAAAAACUUAAUUUCAGUUUUAGAAAAAUUCUAAAAAAAUUAAAAAAUCUCGUCGGCAUGCUUUUAAGGUGGCGCAAGAUGAACCCAACAAGCUUUAAGAGAUCCAGCGAAAUAUUAGAAAGCUCAGCGAAAAUCAGCAAAAAAGAUCAAUGGCGAGAAAACAGAAGAAGGCGAGGGAGAGGAUAGGGUUUUGCUCUUAGGCACGCCCAGGUUCAAGUUAAACUCAUGCAACCUCGUCCAAUAUAUGUAUCCAAGGUAAGGAUCUUGUUUCAAUACGUCAUUUCUAUGUAGCGCAAGAUAAGUCUAAGAUUAUACGGAAUACGAAUUAGAAUUAGGAUAAAGAUAAAACCAAAAAUAAAAAUAAAUAAAAUAAACCGGGUGCAUAGACCGCACGCGCCGCCGCCCGCCCAGCCUGGCUUGUGCUCGUGCGUUUAGUCGAGAACAUAACUCUCAUUUUCUUCCAAACAACUAGCUUGAGAAUGAAGCAAUAUAUAAAUAACAACAAUACAUCCUUAGUUUUUACUGUGGGACUAAACCUUACAUAUGAAAACCUUAGUUGGGCUCUUAGGCAAGGCCCAUCAAGUAUUGAGUUGCCCAAGAGGCCUAAUAAGUUUUAAAUCACAAAAAACGCAAUAAAUUCUAAC
Molecule: long non-coding RNA, 847 nt
Filed under: Ananas comosus (pineapple)
Lineage: Eukaryota; Viridiplantae; Streptophyta; Magnoliopsida; Poales; Bromeliaceae
Description: long non-coding RNA (ACOM_LNC028060)
Source: RNAcentral